Molecule: ribosomal RNA, 1222 nt
Filed under: metagenome
Description: bacterial LSU rRNA
Rfam family: Bacterial large subunit ribosomal RNA
Source: RNAcentral
UGAGAAGGAACUCGGCAAAUUAACACCGUAACUUCGGGAGAAGGUGUGCCCCGGUAGCGUGUAGAGACUUGCUCUCGAAGCGCGAUGGGGUUGCAGUGAAAUGGUGGCUGCGACUGUUUAAUAAAAACACAGCACUCUGCAAACACGAAAGUGGACGUAUAGGGUGUGACGCCUGCCCGGUGCCGGAAGGUUAAGUGAUGGGGUGCAAGCUCUUGAUCGAAGCCCCGGUAAACGGCGGCCGUAACGAUAACGGUCCUAAGGUAGCGAAAUUCCUUGUCGGGUAAGUUCCGACCUGCACGAAUGGCGUAACGAUGGCCACACUGUCUCCUCCUGGGACUCAGCGAAGUUGAAAUGUUUGUGAAGAUGCAAUCUACCCGCGGCUAGACGGAAAGACCCCAUGAACCUUUACUGUAGCUUUGCAUUGGACUUUGAACCGGUUUGUGUAGGAUAGGUGGGAGACUGUGAAGCCGGGACGCUAGUUUCGGUGGAGUCAACCUUGAAAUACCACCCUGAUUUGUUUGAGGUUCUAACCUUGGUCCGUGAAUCCGGAUCGGGGACCGUGCAUGGUAGGCAGUUUGACUGGGGCGGUCUCCUCCCAAAAGGUAACGGAGGAGUACGAAGGUACGCUUAGGGCGGUCGGACAUCGCCCACAAAGUGCAAUGGCAAAAGCGUGCUUGACUGCGAGACCCACAAGUCGAGCAGGUACGAAAGUAGGUCAUAGUGAUCCGGUGGUUCUGUAUGGAAGGGCCAUCGCUCAACGGAUAAAAGGUACUCUGGGGAUAACAGGCUAAUUCCUCCCAAGAGUUCAUAUCGACGGGGGAGUUUGGCACCUCGAUGUCGGCUCAUCACAUCCUGGGGCUGUAGUCGGUCCCAAGGGUAUGGCUGUUCGCCAUUUAAAGUGGUACGCGAGCUGGGUUUAAAACGUCGUGAGACAGUUUGGUCCCUAUCUGCCGUGGGCGCUGGAAAUUUGAAGGGGGCUGCUCCUAGUACGAGAGGACCGGAGUGGACGAACCUCUGGUGUACCGGUUAUGACGCCAGUCGUAUCGCCGGGUAGCUAAGUUCGGAAGAGAUAAACGCUGAAAGCAUCUAAGCGUGAAACUCGCCUUAAGAUAAGAUUUCCCGGAGUCUUGAACUCCCUGAAGGGUCGUCGAAGACCACGACGUUGAUAGGUCAGGUGUGGAAGCGCAGCAAUGCGUUAAGCUAACUGAUACUAAUUGCCCGU